This 1702-nucleotide ribosomal RNA is filed under the name Mollisia sp. 2 JBT-2020. Its description in RNAcentral is "partial large subunit ribosomal RNA". It matches the Rfam family "Eukaryotic large subunit ribosomal RNA", at positions 76 to 1396 of the family's 3401-position model. The record is from RNAcentral. Lineage: Eukaryota; Fungi; Ascomycota; Leotiomycetes; Helotiales; Mollisiaceae.
UGCCUCAGUAACGGCGAGUGAAGCGGUAACAGCUCAAAUUUGAAAGCUGCCAACAGGCCGCGUUGUAAUUUGUAGAAGAUGCUUUGGGUGUUGGCCUAGUCUAAGUUCCUUGGAACAGGACGUCAUAGAGGGUGAGAAUCCCGUAUGUGAUUAGUGCUAUCCCCCGUGUAAAGCUCUUUCGACGAGUCGAGUUGUUUGGGAAUGCAGCUCAAAAUGGGUGGUAAAUUUCAUCUAAAGCUAAAUAUUGGCCAGAGACCGAUAGCGCACAAGUAGAGUGAUCGAAAGAUGAAAAGCACUUUGGAAAGAGAGUUAAACAGUACGUGAAAUUGUUGAAAGGGAAGCGCUUGCAAUCAGACUUGCGGGCGGUUGAUCAUCCGAGGUUCUCCCCGGUGCACUCGAUCGUCCUCAGGCCAGCAUCGGUUUUAGUGGUGGGAUAAAGGCUGUGAGAAUGUGGCUCUUCGGGGUGUUAUAGCUCACGGUGCAAUGCCGCCUACUGGGACCGAGGACCGCGCUUCGGCUAGGAUGCUGGCGUAAUGGUUGUAAGCGACCCGUCUUGAAACACGGACCAAGGAGUCUAACAUCUAUGCGAGUGUUUGGGUGUUAAACCCAUACGCGUAAUGAAAGUGAACGGAGGUAAGAACCCUUCAGGGUGCAUUAUCGACCGAUCCUGAUGUCUUCGGAUGGAUUUGAGUAAGAGCAUAGCUGUUGGGACCCGAAAGAUGGUGAACUAUGCGUGAAUAGGGUGAAGCCAGAGGAAACUCUGGUGGAGGCUCGCAGCGGUUCUGACGUGCAAAUCGAUCGUCAAAUUUGCGUAUAGGGGCGAAAGACUAAUCGAACCAUUGCUUUAGGGCAUGAGUUGCUAGGUGGUUAAGAGAUGACCGAAAUCGUACAUCUAGUCCCUGCCAGGGGCAACACUCUCAAAUUGUUACGGGGACAUCCUGCCAACUUCUAAGCUACCGCCAUUCUUUGAAAGGGGAGUUGGCACCAGGUUAAUGACCUCGGGUAUGGUAAUAACGCUUAGAUAGGGAUAAUCCGCAGCCAAGUCCUAAGGAUGUAAUAUCUAUGGAUGCAGUUCACAGGCUAAAUGUGAGUGGGCUUCACUUCAGAAGAGUGAAGUUUAAGUUAUAGUCGGACCACCGGGAGACCGGUCUAGCAAGUGGAAGUGUGCGAAGGCGGCCCUAUUUUAUAGGCUUUGCACAUGAGACGCUGCUAGGGACGUCAACCUUAGGGUUGGAUCGUCUGGAGGAAUCGCUAGUAGCUGGUUCCUGUCGAAGUUUCCCUCAGGAUAGCAGUGUUGUUUUCAGUUUUAUGAGGUAAAGCGAAUGAUUAGAGGCCUUGGGGUUGAAACAACCUUAACCUAUUCUCAAACUUUAAAUAUGUAAGAAGUCCUUGUUGCUUAAUUGAACGUGGACAUUCGAAUGCACCAACACUAGUGGGCCAUUUUUGGUAAGCAGAACUGGCGAUGCGGGAUGAACCGAACGUGGAGUUAAGGUGCCGGAAUCUACGCUCAUCAGACACCACAAAAGGUGUUAGUUCAUCCAGACAGCAGGACGGUGGCCAUGGAAGUCGGAAUCCGCUAAGGAAUGUGUAACAACUCACCUGCCGAAUGAACUAGCCCUGAAAAUGGAUGGCGCUUAAGCGUAGUACCCAUACUCCACCGCCCAUGUAGAAACGAUGCGUGGGCGAGUAGGCAGGCGUGGGG